AAGAAUUAUUUAAUUGAGGCUGCUAACUUUGAUUAGGGAGAAAUCUCUUCCAAUUCUUU
Molecule: transfer RNA, 59 nt
Filed under: Rabdotus mooreanus
Lineage: Eukaryota; Metazoa; Mollusca; Gastropoda; Stylommatophora; Orthalicidae
Description: tRNA-Ser
Source: RNAcentral